RNAcentral lists this ribosomal RNA (499 nucleotides) under uncultured bacterium. Its description in RNAcentral is "bacterial SSU rRNA". It matches the Rfam family "Bacterial small subunit ribosomal RNA", at positions 41 to 535 of the family's 1533-position model. The record is from RNAcentral.
GGCAGGCCUAACACAUGCAAGUCGAGCGGCAGCGGGUCCUUCGGGAUGCCGGCGAGCGGCGGACGGGUGAGUAAUGCCUAGGAAUCUGCCUGGUAGUGGGGGAUAACUCGGGGAAACUCGAGCUAAUACCGCAUACGUCCUACGGGAGAAAGCGGGGGAUCUUCGGACCUCGCGCUACCAGAUGAGCCUAGGUCGGAUUAGCUAGUUGGUGAGGUAAAGGCUCACCAAGGCGACGAUCCGUAGCUGGUCUGAGAGGAUGAUCAGCCACACUGGAACUGAGACACGGUCCAGACUCCUACGGGAGGCAGCAGUGGGGAAUAUUGGACAAUGGGCGAAAGCCUGAUCCAGCCAUGCCGCGUGUGUGAAGAAGGUCUUCGGAUUGUAAAGCACUUUAAGUUGGGAGGAAGGGCAGUAAGUUAAUACCUUGCUGUUUUGACGUUACCGACAGAAUAAGCACCGGCUAACUUCGUGCCAGCAGCCGCGGUAAUACGAAGGGUGC